GCACGGUUGCUGGAGUGGCAACAGCUUCGGCUGCAAACCGAAUGUCAGGUGUUCGAUUCACCUACCGUGCUCCA
Molecule: transfer RNA, 74 nt
Filed under: Proteus phage Mydo
Lineage: Duplodnaviria; Heunggongvirae; Uroviricota; Caudoviricetes
Also listed under: 6 other names
Description: tRNA-Cys
Rfam family: tRNA
About the family: Transfer RNA (tRNA) molecules are approximately 80 nucleotides in length. Their secondary structure includes four short double-helical elements and three loops (D, anti-codon, and T loops). Further hydrogen bonds mediate the characteristic L-shaped molecular structure. tRNAs have two regions of fundamental functional importance: the anti-codon, which is responsible for specific mRNA codon recognition, and the 3' end, to which the tRNAs corresponding amino acid is attached (by aminoacyl-tRNA synthetases). tRNAs cope with the degeneracy of the genetic code in two manners: having more than one tRNA (with a specific anti-codon) for a particular amino acid; and 'wobble' base-pairing, i.e. permitting non-standard base-pairing at the 3rd anti-codon position.
Source: RNAcentral